This 63-nucleotide transfer RNA is filed under the name Cavia porcellus (domestic guinea pig). It matches the Rfam family "tRNA", at positions 5 to 66 of the family's 71-position model. From Rfam's summary of the family: Transfer RNA (tRNA) molecules are approximately 80 nucleotides in length. Their secondary structure includes four short double-helical elements and three loops (D, anti-codon, and T loops). The record is from Rfam by way of RNAcentral. Lineage: Eukaryota; Metazoa; Chordata; Mammalia; Rodentia; Caviidae.
AUGUGGCUCAGUGGUAGAGCAUUUGCCUAGUAUACAUGAGGUCUUGGGUUCAAUUCUCAGUAU